This 1736-nucleotide long non-coding RNA is filed under the name Homo sapiens (human). RNAcentral describes it as "HSALNT0171698". The record is from RNAcentral. Lineage: Eukaryota; Metazoa; Chordata; Mammalia; Primates; Hominidae.
CGGGAACAUUUUUGGGGGGAUUGUUAUGUCUUCUACCUUGAUUGUAGUGAUGGUUUCACAGAUGUAUGUGUAUGUACAAAUUCAUCAAAUUUUAUAUAUUAAAUAUGCACAGUUUAUUGUAUUAAACUAAUUAUACUUCAAUAAAACUUUUUUUAAAUACAGAAAGUUCCUAUAUACCCUCUCCACCACCACCACCCCCUCACAAAGUUUCUCUUAUUAACAUCUUGCAUUAGUGUGACACAUUUGUGAUCAUUGAUGAACCAAUUUUGAUACACUAUUAUUAACUACAAGGCACAGUUUACAUUAGGAUUCACUCUUUGUAUUGUACAGCUCUAUGCGUUUUGAAAAAUUUAUGUCAUGACUCCAUCAUUAUAAUAUCACACAGAAUAGUUUUACUAUCCUAAAGUGCCUGUGCCUCCACCUGGUUAUCUCUCCCUGACUCUCCUUGAACCCCUGACAACCACUGAUUUUUAAUUGUCUCCAUAGUUUUUCAUUUUUCAUAAGAGCAUAUAUUUGGAAUUACACAGUAUGUAGCCUUUUCAGACUGACUUCUUUCACUUAGUAGUUGCAUUUAAGGCUUCUCCAUAUCUUUUCAUGUCUUAAUUGCUCAUUUAUUUUUAUCACUGAAUACUAUUACAUUAUGUGGAUGUAUCACAGUUUGCUUAUCCAUCACCUAUUGAAGGACAUCUUGGUUGCUUCCAAAUUUGGGCAAUUACGAAUAAAGCUGCUAUAAAUAUUCAUGUGCAGGUUUUUAUGUGGACAUAAGUUUCCAACUCACUUGGGUUAAUAUCUAGGAGCAUAAUUGCUAGAUCUUACAUAUAGUAAAACUAUGUUUAGCUUUGUAAGAAACUGCCAAACUGUCUUUCAAAGUGGCUGUACCAUUUUGCAUUCUGACCAGCAAUGAAUAAGGCUCCCACUACUCCACAUCCUAACAAGCAUUUAGUGUUGCCAGGAUUUGGGAUGUUAGCCAUUCUAACAGGGGUGUCAUGGUAUCUUAUUGUGGUUUUAGUUUGCAAUUCCCUAAUGACAUAUGAAGUUGAGCGUCUUUUCAAAUAUUUAUUUGCCAUCUGUGUAUCUUCUUUAAUAAGCUGUCUGUUCCAAUCUUUUUACUCACCUUUUUUUUUUUGAGGCAGAGUCUCACUCUGUUGCCAGGCUGGAGUGCAGUGGUGCGAUCUCAGCUCACUGCAACCUCCGCCUCCCAGAUUCAAGCAAUUCUCCUGCCUCAGCCUCCUGAGUAGCUGGGACUACAGGUGUGCACCACCACGCCCGGCUAACUUUCGUAUUUUUAGUAAAGACGGGGUUUCACCACAUUGGCCAGGAUGGUCUCGGUCUCUUGACCUCGUGAUCCACCAGCCUGGGCCUCCUACUCACUUUUUAAGUAGACUCUUUACUUAUUAUUGAGUUUUAAGAGCUAUUUGUAUUUUUUUUUACCCAAGUCUUUUAUCAGAUAUGUGUUUGCAAAUAUUUUCUCCCAGUCUUUGGCUUAUCUUUUCAUUCUCUUAACAGUGUCUUUCACAGAGCAUAAGUUUUUAAUUUUCAUGAAGCCAACUAAUUCUUUUUUUAAUGAUUCAUGCUUUUGCUGUUAUAUCUAAAAAGUCAUCGCCAAACCCAAGGUCACCUAGAUUUUCUCCUAUAUUAUCUUCUAGCAGUUUAUAUUAGUACUUUUGUAUUUUACAUCUAGAUUCAUUUUUUUACAUGUGGAUGUCCAGUUAUUUCAGCACCAUUUGUUGAAAAGA